Molecule: long non-coding RNA, 315 nt
Organism: Dreissena polymorpha
Lineage: Eukaryota; Metazoa; Mollusca; Bivalvia; Myida; Dreissenidae
Exons: 3
Source: RefSeq, a predicted model, not a curated record
CAGACUGCAGGUAAAGUGUCAUUGUAGAUUAAUCUGUGUAGUCUGAACAGACUGCAGGUAAAGUGUCAUUGUAGAUUAAUCUGUGUAGUCUGAACAGACUGCAGGUAAAGUGUCACUGUAGAUUAAUCUGUGUAGUCUGAACAGACUGCAGAGACGACACUUUCCGCCUAAACUGGAUUUUGGCAGAUAAAAGACUUUGUUGAAGCAAAAUUAUUAAUAAAAGCGCAAAGUGUGAUUCCAGAUUAGCCUGCGCAGACUGCAAAGGCUUAUCUUAGAUGACACUUUACCAACAUUAAUUCAGCCCAUUUUUUGCAU